Long non-coding RNA from Lytechinus variegatus (green sea urchin), 160 nucleotides. RefSeq lists it as uncharacterized. NCBI's taxonomy places the organism in Eukaryota, Metazoa, Echinodermata, Echinoidea, Temnopleuroida, Toxopneustidae. The record is from RefSeq and is a predicted model, not a curated record. The transcript is spliced from 3 exons.
GGUUGAGUGGUAGUUCCUGGUGGUCCUGUUGUUGUUUCAGGUGGUUGAGUGGUAGUUCCUGGUGGUCCUGUUGUUGUUUCAGGUGGUUGAGUGGUAGUUCCUGGAGGUCCUGUUGUUGUUUCUGGAGGUGUGGUGGUAGUUCCUGGGGGCAAUGGUGUUG